GAAGGUUGUUAAAAUCGAAAAAGUGUUUUCUUUUAAUGAAUGAAAUUUGAAGAAAAGCGACUGGAUUACCAAAUCAUCCUUAAUAAUUUAAGACAGUCCAUGGAGUAGAGCUUACAACUAGGUCGAAUAUCAAUAGAGAAGUGUGUUCUAACAUUUUUUGGUUGUAUAGUUUUCAAAAGCAAGUCGAAAUGCUUUAUAUGUGUAAACGAAGGUUCAGAGAAGCUCUUAAACGUUGCGGAAAUAUAUAGCCUAUUUUCACCCACGAUUCUGGGACUGACUGGAGCUACUCACCAUUCAACAUCAUUCAACAUCUGGGAUUUGGAAAUAUUGUCCUCGAGUACACUUUCCGUUCUUUUAAGCCGCCACGCCCACCGCCGCUCGAGCCCGCGAGUCCCGCUGCCGAUUGCCGGGGCACCAGGAUGCGCGGCAAGGUCAGCGACCUCUUGGG
Drosophila sechellia is the source of this 448-nucleotide long non-coding RNA. RefSeq lists it as uncharacterized. The record is from RefSeq and is a predicted model, not a curated record. The transcript is spliced from 4 exons. NCBI's taxonomy places the organism in Eukaryota, Metazoa, Arthropoda, Insecta, Diptera, Drosophilidae.